This 279-nucleotide ribosomal RNA is filed under the name uncultured bacterium. Its description in RNAcentral is "partial 16S ribosomal RNA". It matches the Rfam family "Bacterial small subunit ribosomal RNA", at positions 506 to 784 of the family's 1533-position model. The record is from RNAcentral.
UGCCAGCAGCCGCGGUAACACGUAAGGAGCGAGCGUUGUUCGGAAUUAUUGGGCGUAAAGGGCAUGUAGGCGGUUUUGUAAGUCUGAUGUGAAAGCCCGGGGCUCAACCCCGGAAGUGCAUUGGAAACUGGCGAACUUGAGUACGGGAGAGGAAAGUGGAAUUCCGAGUGUAGGGGUGAAAUCCGUAGAUAUUCGGAGGAACACCAGUGGCGAAGGCGGCUUUCUGGACCGAUACUGACGCUGAGGUGCGAAAGCGUGGGGAGCAAACAGGAUUAGAUA